GAUGGUUACAACUGGUUGGUUAGAGUGUGGUGUUGAGAAUGCCAAGGUUGCAGGUUCGAUCCCCGUAUGGAACG
This is a non-coding RNA of Podarcis lilfordi (Lilford's wall lizard), 74 nucleotides long. The record is from the annotation of a GenBank genome assembly. NCBI's taxonomy places the organism in Eukaryota, Metazoa, Chordata, Lepidosauria, Squamata, Lacertidae.